RNAcentral lists this ribosomal RNA (38 nucleotides) under Schizothyrium wisconsinense. RNAcentral's name for it is "partial 18S ribosomal RNA". Lineage: Eukaryota; Fungi; Ascomycota; Dothideomycetes; Mycosphaerellales; Schizothyriaceae. The record is from RNAcentral.
GAAUAAGGUUCUCGUAGGUGACCUGCGGAGGGAUCAUU